GAGAAAUUGGUUAAAUUGAUAAUACUAGCUUGUCAUGCUAGAGUUACUCUGAGAGUAUUUCUUUGUG
This 67-nucleotide transfer RNA is filed under the name Daphnia melanica. RNAcentral's name for it is "tRNA-Asp". Lineage: Eukaryota; Metazoa; Arthropoda; Branchiopoda; Diplostraca; Daphniidae. The record is from RNAcentral.